ACUCUCCGUAGCGGAUAUCUAAGCUCACCGCGUCGAUGAAGAGCGUGGCGAAAUCACGAUGCGGGUGUGAGUGCAGAAUCCGUGAACCAUCGAGUCUUUGGGCGCAAGUUAGCCCCAAACCUUCGGCGAAGACGCGUCUGCACAGAGUGUCUAAAUCGUCGUCCUCCAUCCUCGAGAGGAUGCUCGGACGGAAGCUGGUCUCCAUGUGUUACCGCCUGUGGUUGGCCAAAAUCGAACUAAGGAUGCCGGGCGUCUUGACAUCUUGGUGGUGAAUUCAAUUCUCGUCAAAUAAAUCCAGUCGUUUGGUCCGAAAGCUCUUAUUAACCCAAAGUCCUCAGCGACCCCAGGUCAGGUAGGAUCACCCGCUGAGUUUAAGCAUAUCAAUGGCGGAAAAAAACUAACAAGGAUUCCCUUAAUGCUGGCGAACGGAAAACCCGGCAAGAAAAUCGGGCGUCGCCGUUGAAUUGUAGUCUGGGCGUCCUCAGCGGCGGACCCAGACCCAAGUUCCCUGGAAAGGGGCGCGAGAGGUAGAGAGCCGUCGUGCCGGACCACUGUCGCACCUGGCGCUGUCUCUGAAAUUAGGUUGUUUGGGAAUGCAGCCCCAAUCAGAUAAAUUCGAUCGAAAUUAAAUAUAGAGAGAGGCCAGAUGGCGAACAAAUACCCAGCGGGUAAAGAUGAAAAGGACUUUGAAAAGAAAUUGAAAGAGUUAGAAAUUGUCCGAGGAGCGGAUGGGGGCGGCGAUCGUCCGGUCGGAUCAGGAGCAGACAAUCGGUCCGCCGGUCGGUCAGGCGUGGGCCGGCCGGAUUAAGGUAGUGACCUAAGCCGGGCUUUAUUCGCCCGUGGAGGCGAUCGCUGCCUGUCGAUGAUCUUACAACCUGCGCCUCGGCGAUGCCUCACAUCUCGUGCGGACUUUCAGUGACUGUGGGCUCCCCCAUUCGACCCGUCUUAUGAAACGGACCAAAGAGUCUGACAUGUGUGCGAAAUUCGGCGGGUGGAAGUAAACCCGGUAAGGCAUAAAACUGAUUGGCUGGAUCCCUCCGGGUACCCUGACCGACCACCUUGAUUUUACGAAGGGUUGGUGUGAGCAUGCACUGUGGGACCGAAAGAUGGUGAACUAUGCCUGGCGGGCAACCGGCUUGAGAGGAAACUCUAGUGGAAGCCCAUGAGCGUCUGGCGUCGCUGUCGUUCGUCGACUUGGGUAUAGAGGCGAAAGACUAAUCCCGAACCAUCUAGUAGCUGGUUCCCUCAGAAGUUUCCCUCGGGAUAUUUGGAGCUCGGAAAGCGAGUUCUGUCGAGGGUAAAACCAAUGAUUAGAGGCAUGUCGGGGCGCGGCGUCCUCGACUAUUCUCAAACUUUAAAUAGGUAGGGCGGGGUGGCUGCUUUGUUAACCAUCCCGCGGAAUCCGAGAGCCAGUGGGCCAUUUUUGAGUAAGCGAAGCGGCGUCUUUGGGAUGGUGCGGAAGCCCGGAUUCUGGUUGCCCAACUGCAGCUAACCUAGAACCCACAAAGGGUGUUGGUCCGAUUAAGACAGCAGGGCGGUGGUCAUGGAAGUGAAAUCGUAAAGGGUGUAACAACUCACUGCCGAAUCAACUAGCCCGAAAAUGGAUGGCUGAAGCCUGGCCCUACUCCGGCCGUCCGAGGCAAGAGCCAGGCCUCGAUGAGUAGGAGAGCGGCGGUCGCUGCAAAACCUAGAAGCGAGCCCGGCGGAAGCGACGUCGGUCUGAAUCUUGGUGGUAAUAGCAAAUAUUCAAAUGAGAACUUUGAAGGCCGAAGGGGAAAGGUUCCAUGUGGCGGCACUUUGCACAUGGGUUGGUCGAUCCAAGAGUCGAAACCGUCUGAUGCUUAUCGCGAACGAAAGGGAUCGGUUAAAAUUCGGACCGGGGCGUGGCGGUUGUGACAGCGUUAGAGUCCGGAGGCGUCGGCGAAUUCCAGAAGAGUUAUCUUUCUGUUUAACAGCCUGCCCACCCUGAAGCGGCGGCUCAGCCGGAGGUAAAGAUCCAGCGGCUGGAAGAGCACCACGUCGCGUGGUGUCAGUGCAUUCCGGCCCCUUGAAAAUCGGGGGGCCAAGUGCCGCUCCGCCCGUGCGUACUCAUAACGCAUCAGUCUCGAGGUGAACAGCCUCUGGUCGAUGGAACAAUGUAAGUGAGGAAGUGGCCAAAAAUGGAUCCGUAACCCGGAAAAGGAUUGGCUCGAGGGCUGGAAGCAGGGGUCCCAGUUCGAACCGAUGCGACUAUUGGCGGGCUGCUUGAGCGCUAGCGUGGCGAAGGCGGACCAUAAAUGAGGCGGACUGGGAAGCAUUUCAGGAGCUUUCCCGGGCGUGAACGAGCCAACUCCAAACUGAGUGAGGACAAGGGAAUCAUUUGUUUAAUUAAAACAAAGCAUUCUGCGAUGGUCAUACGGAUGAUAACGCCAAUAUGAUUUCUGCGGUUACUCUGAAUGUCAAAGGUGAAGAAAUUCAUUAAGCCCAGCGGAAUUAAGCGGAGGAAGUAACUAUGACUCUCUAAGGUAGCCAAUGCCUGCGUCAUCUAAUUGGUGGCAGCAUGAAUGGAUUAAAGAUUCCCACUGUGUCUACUAUCCCGUGAAACCACAGCCGAGGGCGGGCUUGGCAGAAUCAGCGGGAAGAGCCCUGUUGAGCUUGACUCUGAAGAUCGACUUUGUGAAAUGACUUGAGGUGUAGAAUGAGUCCGGCUAAAACAGUGAAAUACCACUACUUUUAGCGUUAUUUUACUUAUAAGUAGAAUGGGGCGGGGUAACAACCCCUUCUUUUAGACCAAUUCAAGCAGAUUGAGGUCGAUCCGGUGGAAGACAUUGUCAGGAGGGGAGUUUGGCUGAAACGGCACAUCUGUUAAAGAUAAGCGCGCGGGUCCUAAGAUGAGCUCGGCGAGCGAGAAAUCUCGUGUGGAACAAAAGGGUAAAAGCUCGUUUGAUUCUGAUUUUCAGUCACGAAUCUCGAACCCGUGGCGGUAGCCUAUCAGUCCUUUAAGAUCUUGAAUUUAAAGCUAGGAGGGUGUCAGAAAAAGUUACCACUGGGAUAAGCUGGCUUGCUAGCGUUCUAUAGCGUUCACGUUAGCACGGUCGCCGAUGCUGGCUCUUCCCUAUCAUUGUAUGAAGCAAUUCACCAAGUGUUGGAUUGUUCACCCUGAAUAGGAGCGUGGUAAGGUUUAAGCAGGUAAAUGAGACAGGUUAGUUUACCCUCGAUGCCAGCGUCGCAUAAUAAAAUUCAACCCUAGUACAGAGGAACCGUUGAUUAGCACAAUUGGUCAUCGGCGAGGGUUGAAAAAACCAGUCAGCAUGAAUACCGUGCAGCUGGAUUAUGACUGAAGCAUACAAGUCAGAAUCAGACUAGAAAGCGACGCAUGUCGCCGCGCUUCGAUUACGUCCCUCGAGGUAGAACUUAAUCCCAAAGGUAAGUGUCGUUGGCUAAGUCGAUUCGGAAAGCGCCGUUGGACACCCUUAAUUAUAAUUACCACGGUGGUGGGUGAAUCCGCUGCGAGACGACUUAAAUCUCUGUGGGGUGUUGUAAGUGGCGGUAGCCUUGCUGCCACGAUCCGCUAAUUCAGCCCUUUAAUCGCUAAGAUUAGGCCUCCCCUUUCU
Molecule: ribosomal RNA, 3593 nt
Filed under: Brassica oleracea (wild cabbage)
Lineage: Eukaryota; Viridiplantae; Streptophyta; Magnoliopsida; Brassicales; Brassicaceae
Description: eukaryotic LSU rRNA
Rfam family: Eukaryotic large subunit ribosomal RNA
Source: RNAcentral